This 440-nucleotide ribosomal RNA is filed under the name uncultured bacterium. RNAcentral describes it as "partial 16S ribosomal RNA". It matches the Rfam family "Bacterial small subunit ribosomal RNA", at positions 338 to 795 of the family's 1533-position model. The record is from RNAcentral.
CCUACGGGAGGCAGCAGUGGGGGAUAUUGCACAAUGGGGGAAACCCUGAUGCAGCGACGCCGCGUGAGUGAAGAAGUAUUUCGGUAUGUAAAGCUCUAUCAGCAGGGAAGAAAAUGAAAGUACCUGACCAAGAAGCCCCGGCUAACUACGUGCCAGCAGCCGCGGUAAUACGUAGGGGGCAAGCGUUAUCCGGAUUUACUGGGUGUAAAGGGAGCGUAGACUGGUAUGUAAGUCUGGAGUGAAAGCCCGGGGCCCAACCCCCGGACUGCUUUGGAAACUGUGUAACUGGAGUACAGGAGGGGCAGGCGGAAUUCCUGGUGUAGCGGUGAAAUGCGUAGAUAUCAGGAGGAACACCGGCGGCGAAGGCGGGCUGCUGGACUGAAACUGACGUUGAGGCACGAAAGCGUGGGGAGCGAACAGGAUUAGAUACCCCAGUAGUC